UACGAACCGUGCGAACGUUAUUCGGAAUCACUGGGCUUAAAGCGCGUGUAGGCGGAUGGGCACGUCGGUAGUUGAAAGCCCCCGGCUCAACCGGGGAAGUGGUGCCGAAACGACCCGUCUGGAGGGACGUAGGGGGACCUGGAACUUCCGGUGGAGCGGUGAAAUGCGUUGAGAUCGGAAGGAACGCCCGUGGCGAAAGCGAGGUCCUGGACGUCUACUGACGCUGAGACGCGAAAGCUAGGGGAGCAAACGGG
Molecule: ribosomal RNA, 254 nt
Filed under: uncultured bacterium
Lineage: Bacteria
Description: partial 16S ribosomal RNA
Rfam family: Bacterial small subunit ribosomal RNA
Source: RNAcentral